Long non-coding RNA from Bactrocera latifrons, 2142 nucleotides. RefSeq lists it as uncharacterized. The record is from RefSeq and is a predicted model, not a curated record. NCBI's taxonomy places the organism in Eukaryota, Metazoa, Arthropoda, Insecta, Diptera, Tephritidae. The transcript is spliced from 4 exons.
UUGGUUAGUGGCCAUUUAAAUAUUGUAAAAAUAUCAAUUGAUUCAAAAAAGAUGACCAGCGUGUUGAUCUGAGUCGAUUUAGACAUGUUUACUUGCGAACUAAUUCCAACAGUUUUUAAAAUAUCGAUCUAAUGCUCAUUUUUAAAUACCAUGGAAUAUAGCUGCCAUCUAAACUGACCGAUAGAAAGCAAUUCCUUGCAUAGAAAACUAUUUUAGUGGACAAGAUAUCUUCUCGAAAUUUAGCAAGUAUCAUAACCCAAGGCAGCAUUACGUGCCAAAUUGUUUUGAUCGGAUUACUGUAGCAGUAAGCAGUAGCUGCCAUUCAAACUGGCCUAUAAAGUCAAGUUAAAUAUAUUUUUUACACGUUUAUGCUAUAGUUAAUGCACCUGUGAAUGGUAUUAAAGCUUCGGUACAGCGUCACGAGUCAUUUAAGGAAUUAGCGUGGAAAUUAAUUUUUAGAACAGCCAAUUGGACCUUAGGAAACUUAUGCCGGUAUUCCGCGAGCAGUCUCAAGUCUCUAAUAGAGACGAAUCUGUGGUGAAAUCUAUUUAGUGACUGUUUGGUAUUCUGGCGAGUUUGUCUCAUCCCUAAUUGAGCAAUAUCAGUCUCUAACUUGUUAUAUGCUUUGCACCAAGUCAUAGAAAAACAAGAGCAAAACACUGGCUGAUGAAGUUGGACUAUUUUACCUUAUGAUGAAAAAACGAGAAGCGGAAGAGAGAUACAUUCGCAGGCGCAAUCUGACUGUUUUGCGAAACAAAAAAUAUCCGUUUUCAUACGAAGAGAACACAUUCAGGAAGUUCUUCCGAUUUCCCAAAUCUUUAUGCUGGGAUCUCAGUAAUAAACUCAAGCCGUAUGACAAACAGCGAACAUCGAUUCCAUUUGAACUUCGGUUUAUUUCAGUUUUGCAUUUUUAUGCAAUGACUCAUAUCAGUGUUGCGUGGGAAAUGCAUAUUUCGCGGUGAUGAGCCAACCAACCAUUUCCCGUUGUAUCGAAUAUAUUUGUAAAUUGGAAUUAACUAUUUAUGUUGAAGAUUACAAUAGAAUUGAGACUGGUAGGUUUGUGACGAUGAACUAAUUUUCCGGCACGUGAAUGCAAAAUUUCCCGGCUCAUGUCAUGACUCCGGUAUGUGGACUACUUCGCCAGCAAGGAUAAAGCUAAUAAGAGAACACUCUGAUGGAGCUUUUAAAUGGCUUUUGGGUGAUUCGGGAUAUCCAUUGGAGCCAUGGCUUCUUACACCGGUGGCAAACCCUGAAACACAUAAUGAACAAAAUCUUAAUACUAGACACAUAAGAGCAAGAAACACGAUUGAAAGAGCAUUUGAAGUUUUAAAAUCACGCUUUCGAUGCAUUUCAAGAGAACGUACAUUGCGGUACAAACAUUCCAAAGCUGCAUAAUUUGUUUAUACUUGCAUUUUUCUAAAUGAAACCGAAAUAUUGCCAGAUAAAUCACCUGAAAAUGUGGGAGCAAUCUCUGAAAUCCAUUCGGGGGAGUAUUACACUUGAGGCAGAGCAGCACGUCAAAGGUGCAUUAACACAUUAGAUAAUUAAAAUUAUACCAAUAUAUAGUUCAAUUCAAACAUCAUUUAUUUCAUUUAUAAAAUAAAUAAACAUAACAAGAAAAUAAUACUUACAUAUAUACAUAAAAAGGAACAUUUUUAAUUUUCACUUUUUGUCACAAUCUCCUGUUUUUUUUCACAAUAGUCUGAGCAAGCGACACCAUCGCUGCCGCUAAAUUGUUAAUAGACUCCGUGUGUUUAUUAAUGGAAUCUAAAGUUUUAAUCCGGAAAUCUCUUUCCUCCUCGGCUUUCUCUUUCAUUAAGUCCAUAUAAUUUCGGGACAUUUCGUCCGUCGUCAUUUUUUUGCUACUUGACGAUGACGGAGUGCACUCAUUGGACGCAUCCGAAGUCGUAUUCAGGGGCGAUGGCCAAUGGCUGGUACAUCAGCCAAUCCAUUUACGGCUAUGGACCCCAAUGUAUCCAACGCUUUCUGCUCCGUUUCGGAGAGCUCAAUUGUUGAGCUGGGACCGCCACCUGUCACCAGCUUGUGCGCCUUGGCUUUCCUUGCACGAGGUCUUACUUGGUUUUUCCAAUGGCUCAUAUUCUGUAAAACAAAGAACAUAAAUACAUAUAUACAAUGCCAAUA